GGCUCGUUGGUCUAGGGGUAUGAUUCUCGCUUCGGGUGCGAGAGGUCCCGGAUUUAAAUCCCGGACGAGCCC
RNAcentral lists this transfer RNA (72 nucleotides) under Danionella translucida. It matches the Rfam family "tRNA". From Rfam's summary of the family: Transfer RNA (tRNA) molecules are approximately 80 nucleotides in length. Their secondary structure includes four short double-helical elements and three loops (D, anti-codon, and T loops). Further hydrogen bonds mediate the characteristic L-shaped molecular structure. tRNAs have two regions of fundamental functional importance: the anti-codon, which is responsible for specific mRNA codon recognition, and the 3' end, to which the tRNAs corresponding amino acid is attached (by aminoacyl-tRNA synthetases). tRNAs cope with the degeneracy of the genetic code in two manners: having more than one tRNA (with a specific anti-codon) for a particular amino acid; and 'wobble' base-pairing, i.e. permitting non-standard base-pairing at the 3rd anti-codon position. Lineage: Eukaryota; Metazoa; Chordata; Actinopteri; Cypriniformes; Danionidae. The record is from Rfam by way of RNAcentral. RNAcentral also lists the same sequence under 1 other name.